Molecule: ribosomal RNA, 427 nt
Filed under: uncultured Chromatiaceae bacterium
Lineage: Bacteria; Pseudomonadati; Pseudomonadota; Gammaproteobacteria; Chromatiales; Chromatiaceae
Description: partial 16S ribosomal RNA
Rfam family: Bacterial small subunit ribosomal RNA
Source: RNAcentral
UGGGGAAUAUUGGACAAUGGGCGCAAGCCUGAUCCAGCAAUGCCGCGUGUGUGAAGAAGGCCUGCGGGUUGUAAAGCACUUUCAGUGGGGAAGACCGGCCCUGGGCGAAUACCCCAGGGGGUUGACGUUACCCACAGAAGAAGCACCGGCUAACUCCGUGCCAGCAGCCGCGGUAAUACGGAGGGUGCGAGCGUUAAUCGGAAUCACUGGGCGUAAAGCGCGCGUAGGCGGCACGAUCAGUCCGCUGUGAAAGCCCCGGGCUUAACCUGGGAACUGCAGUGGAUACUGUCGCGCUCGAGUCUGCAAGAGGGGGGUGGAAUUCCAGGUGUAGCGGUGAAAUGCGUAGAGAUCUGGAGGAACACCGGUGGCGAAGGCGGCCCCCUGGUGCAAGACUGACGCUGAGGUGCGAAGGCGUGGGGAGCAAACA